CAGCCGCCGCGGGAAUACGGAGGGUGCAAGCGUUAUCCGGAUUCACUGGGUUUAAAGGGUGCGUAGGCGGAUCUGUAAGUCAGUGGUGAAAUCUCCAGGCUUAACCUGGAAACUGCCGUUGAUACUAUAGGUCUUGAAUUUUGUGGAGGUUAGCGGAAUAUGUCAUGUAGCGGUGAAAUGCAUAGAUAUGACAUAGAACACCAAUUGCGAAGGCAGCUGGCUACACAACUAUUGACGCUGAGGCACGAAAGCGUGGGGAUCAAACAGGAUUAGAUACCCCCGUAGUCCCUGUCUCUUAUAC
Molecule: ribosomal RNA, 301 nt
Filed under: uncultured bacterium
Lineage: Bacteria
Description: partial 16S ribosomal RNA
Rfam family: Bacterial small subunit ribosomal RNA
Source: RNAcentral